This 576-nucleotide ribosomal RNA is filed under the name uncultured bacterium. Its description in RNAcentral is "bacterial SSU rRNA". It matches the Rfam family "Bacterial small subunit ribosomal RNA", at positions 819 to 1394 of the family's 1533-position model. The record is from RNAcentral.
GGUGUGGGUCUCAUUCCACGAGAUCCGUGCCGCAGCUAACGCAUUAAGUUCCCCGCCUGGGGAGUACGGCCGCAAGGCUAAAACUCAAAGGAAUUGACGGGGGCCCGCACAAGCGGCGGAGCAUGUGGAUUAAUUCGAUGCAACGCGAAGAACCUUACCAAGGCUUGACAUAUACCGGAAACAUCUAGAGAUAGAUGCCCCGCAAGGUCGGUAUACAGGUGGUGCAUGGUUGUCGUCAGCUCGUGUCGUGAGAUGUUGGGUUAAGUCCCGCAACGAGCGCAACCCUCGUUCUAUGUUGCCAGCGCGUAAAGGCGGGGACUCAUAGAAGACUGCCGGGGUCAACUCGGAGGAAGGUGGGGAUGACGUCAAAUCAUCAUGCCCCUUAUGUCUUGGGCUUCACACAUGCUACAAUGGCCGGUACAAAGGGCUGCGAAAUCGCAAGAUGGAGCGAAUCCCAAAAAACCGGUCUCAGUUCGGAUUGGGGUCUGCAACUCGACCCCAUGAAGUCGGAGUCGCUAGUAAUCGCAGAUCAGCAACGCUGCGGUGAAUACGUUCCCGGGCCUUGUACACACCGCC